AACGCUGGCGGCGUGCCUAAUACAUGCAAGUCGAACGAGGCCCAAUGUACUUGUACAGAGGUGUCCUAGUGGCGAACGGGUGAGUAACGCGUUGGUGACCUGCCCCGAAGUGGGGGAUAACAGUUCGAAAGGACUGCUAAUACCCCAUGUGACUGUGAGAGUUAGAGGUCUCACUAUCAAAGGAGUAAUCCGCUUCGGGAGGGGCCUGCGUCCCAUCAGCUAGUUGGUAAGGUAAUUGCUUACCAAGGCUUAGACGGGUAGGGGACCUGAGAGGGUGACCCCCCACACUGGAACUGAAACACGGUCCAGACACCUACGGGUGGCAGCAGUAGGGAAUAUUGCACAAUGGGCGAAAGCCUGAUGCAGCAACGCCGCGUGCACGAUGAAGGCCUUCGGGUUGUAAAGUGCUUUUAUGAGGGAAGAGAAAGGACUGUACCUCAUGAAUAAGGAUCGGCUAACUACGUGCCAGCAGCCGCGGUAACACGUAGGAUCCGAGCGUUAUCCGGAUUUACUGGGCGUAAAGCGCGUGCAGGUGGUCUAUUAAGUUGGAUGUUAAAUCUCCUGGCUUAACUGGGAGUUGUCGUUCAAAACUGGUAGACUAGAGGACGGUAGAGGAAGGUGGAAUUCCGGGUGUAGUGGUGAAAUGCGUAGAUAUCCGGAGGAACAUCAGUGGCGAAGGCGACCUUCUGGACCGCUCCUGACACUCCAACGCGAAAGCUAGGGGAGCAAACGG
RNAcentral lists this ribosomal RNA (733 nucleotides) under uncultured bacterium. RNAcentral's name for it is "bacterial SSU rRNA". It matches the Rfam family "Bacterial small subunit ribosomal RNA", at positions 32 to 775 of the family's 1533-position model. The record is from RNAcentral.